Molecule: unclassified non-coding RNA, 374 nt
Filed under: uncultured fungus
Lineage: Eukaryota; Fungi
Description: sequence contains ITS1
Rfam family: 5.8S ribosomal RNA (bases 1-105)
Source: RNAcentral
GAACUGCGAUACGUAAUGUGAAUUGCAGAAUUCCGUGAAUCAUCAAAUCUUUGAACGCAUAUUGCGCUCCUGGGUUCUCCCAGGAGCAUACCUGUUUGAGUGUCAGUUACUAAGUUUAUCGAACGAAUUCUUUUUUUUUCGGAUUUGAGCCUUUGUCUUAAAAAUUUUCAAGAUUUUUAAGAGGCUUUAAAUAUAAACAAAAAAAGCAGGCUUGCCGCUUUUAAGCUUAUGAUUUGAUAGUGGAAAUUUCAUUUCUUUUAUUUUUUUAAGCUUAUAAGCCGUCUGAUGGCCUACUUUUCAUUUCAACGGUUAUAAAAAGGCAACUUUUUGAACACUUUGACCUCAAAUCAGGUAAGACUACCCGCUGAACUUAA